GGGAGGGAGGCAGGGCGGGAGGGAGAGAGGGAGGGAGAGGUAGGGUGUCUGCUGUGUACAUGUGCUCCAGGCAGGGAGAUCAGCACGCUCAUAGAACAGGCAGUGUAAUUACAUGUUCCUCGGAAGUAUGUUCGACCCACGGGGAACUCUGCUUGCCCGCCUACUUGGGGAGGAAAAGUAGAUUUGGGGAUGGUGGAAGGGGUCAGUUCCUCACUGACUUCCUGCUUGGUUAGGAUGGGGGCAUUUGCUGAUCUCCAGUGACAGCCUGCUGCUCAUGGUCAGGCUCCACUCUCUUGCUACCAGAUACUUGAUUUUGCAAAAGGGACACACCUUUCUGCAGGAAAGAAGACACUGACCAGAUUGUGAGCGGUUUUUGUGGAUGCUUUGCAGUCACCCAGGGCCCAGGCGGACUGACUGCAGGAAGCUUGUGCAUGGGAAGCAGAGACCAUGGCAGUGCAGCUGGUGCCCGACUCCGCGCUCAGCCUGCUGAUGGUGAGUGCUGGGGGGGAGGUGGGGCCCAGGCAGCGCCCAGCUCCAGCCUCUCCUGCAUCACACACCCUGGGCUGCCGCCCGCUGCUGCUGCUGCUGCUGCUGUUGCUGUUGCUGCUUCAGUAGCAGCAGACAUGCUCACAAUUGCUCUGCUUUAUCCCACAGGCUCUUUUGAAAUGAUUUCUGGGCUAAGAGUCUUAGCCAUGACAAAGCACUCCCAGGGAAAAGAAGUAUUCGAUUUGCCAUUUUAGAAACUUGUUGCUUAACGCUAUUUUGAGAGAUGUGCUUGCAAACAGGUGCUGAGAGCCCCUGGAAAUAGAUUCCCAGCAACGCCUCCCCCUGGCUCUCAGCAUCCUUUCCCGGUGCCUUUUGUAUCUAAAUCGAGGUGAUCAUGUUUGUUUGUUUGUUUCUAUCUCCUCCUGGCAACUGUGGAGUUGUUCACCCACAGGGUGAUUGAAUAGGAUUUUCUUUCUAGGUGCCUAUGUGUCUGCUCAGAUUUCCCCAAAGAAGCAGCCGGGGGGCUUGGCGUUGGCCUUUUGUCACACUUGGGCUGCAGAAUUGGAGGAAGCUUAUUUCCACAAUUGCUUGAGAGACCCUGGCAGGCCUUGUAUGCAUCACAGACCUACUUUAAGUUGCUCUGUGAUUUCCAUCAUAUUAAGAAGGCCUCUGUUCUUAGCAUAUUUAAGCACACAAGGUCAGUGGCAUCGCCUUGGUUUACCCUGACCGACCUUUUACUAGACACCAGGUUCAGAGUUGGCUUUUGCGGUCCUGAUGCUCCACCCUCCUCCUCACCCAAUGACCCACUUGCCUGGGUGAUGCUGAGGGAGGCAGCCCCUUGGGGUAUGAAUGGAUCUCACAGUUACAGGGGCGAUUUCACACACACACACCAUAGUACUUCCACUAUGUAUAUUGACCUAUGUUUUGACUGAGAAAGGGUGGUGCCACUUUGUGAGAUCUGGGGGGUUUAUUAAGGCUGCUCAGAAGAGGAGCUGGGAGUGGGAGAGCCUGUCUACUGGGUGGCCACCCGGUCAAGCUAACAGACCUUGGUUCUGUGGUACCCCCAGUGUCAUUGAGGCUACAGAGGUAUUUGAAAUGUUUGAAAUCUCAUGGGCCUCUGCUGACUUACGGUUUCACUAGGGGAGAAGGACUGGGAAGAACAAAAGUUGUUUUCUGGAAAAAGUGCCCUUUUUGUGUCUUCCUUCCCUCUUAGAUCCUAUUGUCUGAUGAUGCUUUAAUCUCUAUUAUCUACCUGUGGUCAUGUAUGUAGAUGGGGUUCUGAGUGUUUGUGACUAGGGCAGGCACCAGAGUCACUGUGAGGACUCCUGGGAAGCUGACAAGUCUGGGCUACAUGCAAAAAAAAAAAAAAAAAA
Molecule: long non-coding RNA, 1859 nt
Filed under: Sus scrofa (pig)
Lineage: Eukaryota; Metazoa; Chordata; Mammalia; Artiodactyla; Suidae
Description: lncRNA (ENSSSCG00055002883.1)
Source: RNAcentral